This 75-nucleotide transfer RNA is filed under the name Sphaerodactylus townsendi. RNAcentral describes it as "tRNA-Thr". It matches the Rfam family "tRNA". From Rfam's summary of the family: Transfer RNA (tRNA) molecules are approximately 80 nucleotides in length. The record is from RNAcentral. Lineage: Eukaryota; Metazoa; Chordata; Lepidosauria; Squamata; Sphaerodactylidae.
GGAAGGGUUGUGGCUCGGUGGUAGAGCAUUUGCUUUGUAUACAGAAGGUCCCAGGUCCAAACCCUGGAAUCUCCA